Molecule: long non-coding RNA, 2929 nt
Filed under: Rattus norvegicus (Norway rat)
Lineage: Eukaryota; Metazoa; Chordata; Mammalia; Rodentia; Muridae
Description: long non-coding RNA NONRATT027156
Source: RNAcentral
UCUGGGAUCUCUCUCUCUGUCACCUCACAGUAGUCGUUGCCGGUCGCGGGUGUGGGGGCGCGAGCAGCGCAGGGCCGCCUUUCCCCCGCCCUCAGGCCGGGCCCGGGCUCGGUCCCCCGCUCCCUCCUCUCCCCACCCCGGUCGGGUACCGGAAGGUCCAAGCCGCUGCCGGGUGCCCGAGGGCCAUCGUGGCCGCCGCCACGGGUCCUGAUGGAGCCGCCGAAUCUCUAUCCGGUGAAGCUCUACGUGUACGACCUGUCCAAGGGCCUGGCCCGCCGGCUCAGCCCCAUCAUGCUGGGGAAACAACUGGAAGGAAUCUGGGAGGGACAUUGCUUGGGCCCCCAGACUCUGUGGUUGAUGUGGGGAAUACAGAAGUCACAGAAGAAAUCUUUCUGGAAUACCUGUCCUCCCUGGGGGAGUCUCUGUUCCGAGGAGAAGCCUACAACCUCUUUGAACACAACUGUAACACCUUUAGCAAUGAAGUGGCACAGUUCCUGACUGGGCGGAAGAUCCCUUCUUACAUCACCGACCUGCCCUCAGAAGUUCUCUCCACGCCCUUUGGACAAGCACUUCGGCCCUUCUUGGACUCCAUUCAGAUCCAGCCUCCAGGAGGGAACUCUGUAGGCAGACCCAAUGGCCAAAGCUAACAGGACUGCACGGGACCGCCCGCCUCUCCACGGCUUUUCCUUUUUAAACAAAACAAACCCUACCAGAUUUCUAUUUUAUAAUUUUACAUCAGAGCUAACGGGGACGGCUUUUUAAAUUUCCCAGGGAAGGAGCUCAUCAGGCCGCAUGUAGAACAACGCUCCUGAGAAAGAGAACAAAGCCAUCCCUUCUAAUAGUAUUACACUAAUUUAUUAAGGCUGUCUUGUCUGUGAGUUCACUUUUGACGCUGUUGCCUACACGUCCUCCACACUGAAGAGAGAGGGUGCUUUUUAAAAGAGAAGCAAGAGUCACAGUCUGGGAGAACCCGACCUUGGACCCUCUUUCCAGAGAACGCCGACAUUCCACCCAGGUCGCCACGCCUGUGGGACCCAGGUGAGUUCUGUACUGUCCAUUCUCCUGAAGCUGUCACCCUCUAGCCGUAAACGAACCAAAGGACUUGGAGUACGUGGGGCCAGCUGUAGGCUCCUAACUCAACCUAAGUGAACUCUUUAACCACAAGUUUACCCCUCCUCCUGAGACAAGGCCACCCGUCACAGCCGGAGCAGCCAGAGCAACAGGAUCAAAGGAGACUGGCAGCAGGGGUGAGGCCAGAGAAAACAGGAGAAAGCCAUUCAUCCUCCUGUGAGUGCCAAUCCUCGAUGCCCACCCCUAAGCUGCUCUUCCUCAGCAUAGCUUGACCUGUCACCUUUAAUAAAGGUCUAGGCUGCAGCAGCAGAGACCCAGGCCUUCUGUUUGAGAAUAAUUACGUCAGUUAUUUAUAGUCAGUAGAGCCAGCCACUCAAACCAGUAUGGAUUUGUCAGCUAGGUUGAGGGGACUCGAUUGUUCUCCUAAAACAUGUCUCUGAUGUAGAAAGAAUACUGUAAUGAUGUAGAUUCAUGGUGGGAAGAAAAUUUAGAGUUGUCUCCAAUAGGGACUUCACAUUAUCCUUAAUGUGUCUUGAACAGACGCUAUCUCCAUUGUCAUUCUGACCUUUUGGGGUGUGGUUGGGGUGUGAGUGGGUGUUUCCCUAAUGAUAUGCUGCUAGGAUUUCAUAGGCAGGAAUAGCCUAGAAGUCUACGAUCUAGACUCUCGAUUCCAGAGAAACCUCAAGGUUCCCUUCCUUGGUGUCAGCUUUCUACUAGCUAAUGUGGGGAACUGGAUAAGGAGAAGGGAGCUCAGAGAAGGCACCUGAGACUCCACAUCCAUGGGGAGCCCCCCACCAUGGAUGGCUCCCUGCCACUUCUGAAACUUGAGCUCAGGUGUUCCUUCUGGGGCAGGCCUUUCCUCCCUAAGAGCUCCUGUUGGCUCACACUUGCCCACAUCCUGCAGUCUUUGCCACUAGCCAUAGCAGUAGGCGCCGUGGAGAGCUCUGCCUCAAAGCUGGCCUUUUGCCUGGCCAGGGCUUUGCCCACCUAGGAUGGCAAGUGACGUUUUGGAACUGAAAGGUCACAGCCAAAUGGGUCUCGAGACUCAACAGUGUGCAGGCAUGUGUGGCUAUUACAAAGGAAAGCGGAAACCAACAGGGAUUGUUCAGUGUUGGCCCAGUUGCCACAGUGGGGCUCAGAAGGGUGAGUGUUCAAAGCUUGGCAUCCGGGAAGGUAGAGGUUGCUGGAAGCCAUCACUUUUUCACUUGCCUGGCCCUAGCUGGUAGCAUCUCUGCCCAGCGCUCUCACCUCUGUCCUAAGGGUGCGGUCACAUGGCUAUUCUCUGGUUUUCUCCUCAUAGCAGUACAAUAACCAUGAUAUUCUGAGAAGUUUGCCUGAGGACUUUAGUCACUUAAUUGCUUGACUUCUCUCCUGUCACGUCUAGCAGCCAUCCAUGCCAGAGUCUGUGGCCAUGGCUAGGAGAGAUAGGAAGACUGGACAGUCUCUGGCCUCAGCAGAAAGGCAAGCUGUUCUCCCCUGUGCAAGUCCAGUGUCACCAGAGCCCCAGGCCAGGAACCCCAGAUCCCACCUGUACAUUUCCCUGCCAGACUCUCAGGAGGGACUCCACCUGGGCAUGCACCAUGAAGCUGAGAGGAAAAGGAGUUGUGUGGUUCGUGUCACAUGUUGGACACUCCUGUCUGUUGGUCAGUUAGUCAAGGGACAAGGGAAGUGGAGGCAUGAGGCCAUCAUACUUUCCCAGACUGAAGUGUUUCUCUGAGAUUCUUUCGUGACUUCCUUGAAGUCUGACUAAUUAUGUCUAACACGGAGGUGUUGCUGGUUUUCAUUGGUGUUUUUUCUAAUGCAAUAAACUCAUUUCUGCCUGCUGCUCUAGUGAGUUGCUUGAAUCCUGGCAGGAAGC